RNAcentral lists this transfer RNA (72 nucleotides) under Camelus bactrianus (Bactrian camel). It matches the Rfam family "tRNA". From Rfam's summary of the family: Transfer RNA (tRNA) molecules are approximately 80 nucleotides in length. Their secondary structure includes four short double-helical elements and three loops (D, anti-codon, and T loops). RNAcentral also lists the same sequence under 2 other names. Lineage: Eukaryota; Metazoa; Chordata; Mammalia; Artiodactyla; Camelidae. The record is from Rfam by way of RNAcentral.
AAGGGCAGAGCUCAGUGGUAGAGCACAUGCUUAGCAUGCAUGAGGUCCUGGGUUCAAUCCCCAGUACCUCCA